CCCUUAGAUGUCCUGGGCUGCACGCGCGCUACACCGUAGAAAGCAGCGUGCUUUAAAACCUUUCCUGAAAAGGAUGGGUAACCCCAGCAAAAUUCUACGUGCUUGGGAUAGAGAUUUGCAAUUUUCUCUCUUGAACGAGGAAUUCCCAGUAAGUGCGAGUCAUCAGCUCGCGUUGAUUACGUCCCUGCCCUUUGUACACACCGCCCGUCGCUACUACCGAUUGGGAAAAUUUUAGAGAGUCCUGGACUGAUGAUUGUUCGGCUUCACGGCCUUACUUUCGUCGGGAAAGAAUUCGAUAAUAUUUUUCUAGAGGAAGUAAAAGCCGUAACA
Molecule: ribosomal RNA, 330 nt
Filed under: uncultured eukaryote
Lineage: Eukaryota
Description: partial 18S ribosomal RNA
Rfam family: Eukaryotic small subunit ribosomal RNA
Source: RNAcentral